Molecule: ribosomal RNA, 440 nt
Filed under: uncultured bacterium
Lineage: Bacteria
Description: partial 16S ribosomal RNA
Rfam family: Bacterial small subunit ribosomal RNA
Source: RNAcentral
CCUACGGGAGGCAGCAGUGGGGAAUAUUGCACAAUGGGCGAAACCCUGAUGCAGCGACGCCGCGUGAGUGAAGAAGUAUCUCGGUACGGAAAGCUUCAUCAGCAGGGAAGAAAAUGACGGUACCUGACUCAGAAGCCCCGGCUAACUACGUGCCAGCAGCCGCGGUAAUACGGAGGGGGCCAGCGUUAUCCGGAUUUACUGGGUGUAAAGGGAGCGUAGACGGCAGGACAAGUCUGGAGUGAAAUCCUGGGGCUUAACCUCGAAACUGCAUUUGAAACUGUGCGGCUUGAGUACAGGAGAGGUAGGCGGAAUUCGUAGUGUAGCGGUGAAAUGCGUAGAUAUUACGAGGAACACCGAUGGCGAAGGCAGCUUACUAGACUGUAACUGACGUUGAUGCUCGAAAGCGUGGGGAGCAAACAGGAUUAGAUACCCCUGUAGUC